RNAcentral lists this ribosomal RNA (467 nucleotides) under uncultured bacterium. Its description in RNAcentral is "partial 16S ribosomal RNA". It matches the Rfam family "Bacterial small subunit ribosomal RNA", at positions 28 to 506 of the family's 1533-position model. The record is from RNAcentral.
GACGAACGCUGGCGGCGUGCUUAACACAUGCAAGUCGAACGGAAAGGCCCUGCUUUUGUGGGGUGCUCGAGUGGCGAACGGGUGAGUAACCCGUGAGUAACCUGCCCUUGACUUUGGGAUAACUUCAGGAAACUGGGUCUAAUACCAGAUCAGAGCUCCUGUUUGAUGGUGGGGGGUGGAAAGUUUCGGCGGUGGGGGAUGGUCUCGCGGCUGAUCAGCUUGUUGGUGGGGUAGUGGCUUACCAAGGCUUUGAUGGGUAGCCGGCCUGAGAGGGUGAACGGCCACAUGGGGACUGAGACACGGCCCAUACUCCUACGGGAGGCAGCAGUGGGGAAUAUUGCACAAUGGGCGGAAGCCUGAUGCAGGAACGCCGGGUGGGGGAAGACGGCUUUCGGGUAGUAAACGGGUUUUGCGUGGGAAGAAGCGUGAGGGCCGGAAAUGGAGAAGGAAGCACCGCCAAACUACUG